UCUGAUGUCAACAAGGAACCCUCUGGGUAGGCUUUUGAGAAGUUGCUAAGGAUCUUCUUACUGCCAAAUGACUGUAACUUCAUCCCAAUGGGAUUUGCAAUAGAGCUCAUCCAUGCAGCAGUAAAGCCAAACUGUAAUCAUCUUUGUAGCAUAUUGUUCUGGGAUCAGCACCUUUGGGGAUACAUUAGUACGGCGAUUGACGGAAAGAAGCUGAAGAGGGAAACCAAAGUGAACCCAGCCAAGGCAAGAUAAGCUUCUCUCUCAGCCAUGCUGGCAGAUUUCUUUUGCCUUCUUUCCUACACUCCUUCAGCAAUUCAGGCACAGACUGAGAUUAUUCAGCUCCAAAAUGGCAAGAUGUCCAGAACUGUGGAACUGUGGAAACCUACCAGGAAUAUUGCAUUGCAAGGAAGAUCUUGCUGGCUGAAGUCCCUCUCCAUUGUGGACAGUCAGAUCAGCUUUCCUCAUAAACAACAGCAAUAGUUUUCUCCAUGAUAUUUGAGAAGAAGGUUGGAAGACCUAGAGGGCAUCACAGUGCCUUAAACCGUGUCUUGGUAACUGUUGGAGCUUAAUGCAAGAGUGAAAAUGACCAUGCUGCAUUCUGUUCAAUGCUAGUGGCUAACAGUUAAGCUGGAGUAUGUUGCGUAAUGGAGAUUACCUGACACUGUA
This is an RNA transcript of Gallus gallus (chicken), 666 nucleotides long. RefSeq lists it as uncharacterized. The transcript has 4 exons. The record is from RefSeq and is a predicted model, not a curated record. Lineage: Eukaryota; Metazoa; Chordata; Aves; Galliformes; Phasianidae.